Molecule: ribosomal RNA, 847 nt
Filed under: uncultured archaeon
Lineage: Archaea
Description: bacterial SSU rRNA
Rfam family: Archaeal small subunit ribosomal RNA
Source: RNAcentral
CCCGACUGCUAUUUGGGUAGGACUAAGCCAUGCAAGUCUAAUGGAACAGCUUUGUUCCAUGGCGCACUGCUCAGUAACAAGUGAUCAACUUACCCUUUAGUGGGGGAUAAUCUCGGGAAACUGAGGCUAAUACCCCAUAGAUGGAAUAGCCUGGAAUGGUAUUCCAUCGAAAGAUAACCCCAAUUGCGGGGUUGUUCGCUAAAGGAUAGGAUCGCUCUCGAUUAUGGUUGUUGGCGAGGUAAUGGCUCACCAAGCCUAUGAUCGAUAGGGGCCGUUAGCGCGGGAGCCCCGAGAUGGGGACUGAGACAAUGCCCCAGGCCUUACGAGGUGCAGCAGGCGCGAAACCUUUACAAUGCACGAAAGUGUGAUAAGGCUACCCAAAGUGCCAUGAAAAAGGUCAUGGCUUUUAUGAGGUAUAAAUUGCCUCAUGAAUAAGGAGAGGGCAAGGCUGGUGCCAGCCGCCGCGGUAAAACCAGCUCUUCAAGUGGUCGGGACUCUUAUUGGGCUUAAAGCGUCCGUAGCCGGUUUGGUAAGUUCCUGGUUAAAUCUAAUAGCUUAACUAUUAGUUAGCUAGGAAUACUGCCUUACUAGAGGGUGGGAAAGGUCUGAGGUACUCCAGGGGUAGCGGUGAAAUGCGAUGAUCCUUGGGGGACCACCAGUGGCGAAAGCGUCAGACUGGAACACGCCUGACGGUGAGGGACGAAAGCCAGGGGAGCGAACGGGAUUAGAUACCCCGGUAGUCCUGGCCGUAAACGAUGCGCGCUAGGUGUUGGUAUGGCUUUGAGCCAUAUCAGUGCCGUAGGGAAACUGUUAAGCGCGCCGCCUGGGAAGUACGCUCGCAAGAGUG